RNAcentral lists this ribosomal RNA (496 nucleotides) under uncultured bacterium. RNAcentral describes it as "partial 16S ribosomal RNA". It matches the Rfam family "Bacterial small subunit ribosomal RNA", at positions 29 to 507 of the family's 1533-position model. The record is from RNAcentral.
AUGAACGCUGGCGGCGUGCCUAAUACAUGCAAGUCGAGCGAACGGACGAGAAGCUUGCUUCUCUGAUGUUAGCGGCGGACGGGUGAGUAACACGUGGAUAACCUACCUAUAAGACUGGGAUAACUUCGGGAAACCGGAGCUAAUACCGGAUGAUAUUUUGAACCGCAUGGUUCAAAAGUGAAAGACGGUCUUGCUGUCACUUAUAGAUGGACCCGCGCUGCAUUAGCUAGUUGGUAAGGUAACGGCUUACCAAGGCAACGAUGCAUAGCCGACCUGAGAGGGUGAUCGGCCACACUGGAACUGAGACACGGUCCAGACUCCUACGGGAGGCAGCAGUAGGGAAUCUUCCGCAAUGGGCGAAAGCCUGACGGAGCAACGCCGCGUGAGUGAUGAAGGUCUUCGGAUCGUAAAACUCUGUUAUUAGGGAAGAACAUAUGUGUAAGUAACUGUGCACAUCUUGACGGUACCUAAUCAGAAAGCCACGGCUAACUACGUG